CCUACGGGAGGCAGCAGUGGGGGAUAUUGCACAAUGGGGGAAACCCUGAUGCAGCGACGCCGCGUGGACGAAGAAGUAUUUCGGUAUGUAAAGUCCUAUCAGCAGGGAAGAAGAAAUGACGGUACCUGACUAAGAAGCCCCGGCUAACUACGUGCCAGCAGCCGCGGUAAUACGUAGGGGGCAAGCGUUAUCCGGAUUUACUGGGUGUAAAGGGAGCGCAGGCGGCAGCGUAAGUCUGAUGUGAAAGCCCGGGGCCCAACCGGGGGACUGCAUUGGAAACUGCUGAACUUGAGUGCCGGAGGGGUGAGCGGAAUUCCUAGUGUAGCGGUGGAAUGCGUAGAUAUUAGGAGGAACACCAGUGGCGAAGGCGGCUUACUGGACGGCAACUGACGCUGAGGCUCGAAAGCGUGGGGAGCGAACAGGAUUAGAUACCCGAGUAGUC
RNAcentral lists this ribosomal RNA (442 nucleotides) under uncultured bacterium. RNAcentral's name for it is "partial 16S ribosomal RNA". It matches the Rfam family "Bacterial small subunit ribosomal RNA", at positions 338 to 795 of the family's 1533-position model. The record is from RNAcentral.